RNAcentral lists this ribosomal RNA (466 nucleotides) under uncultured bacterium. RNAcentral describes it as "partial 16S ribosomal RNA". It matches the Rfam family "Bacterial small subunit ribosomal RNA", at positions 28 to 507 of the family's 1533-position model. The record is from RNAcentral.
GACGAACGCUGGCGGUGUGCUUAACACAUGCAAGUCGAGCGAUCAGGCCCUUUCGUUGGUACACUGAUGUCAAACGCGGAAGUAACACGAACAUAACCUUCCCUCAUCUAUAGGAUAAGAAUCGCAUACGGUUACUGGUACUAGUUAUGAGCUUUCUUGUCAUCUGCUUGGUUGGAAAGAUUUUUUGGGUUUGGGGUGCACUCGCGGCCUAUCAGCUUGUUGGUGAGCUAGUGGCUCACCUAGGCUUCUACGAGUAGCCGGCCUGAGAGGGUGACAGGCCGCAUUGGGACCGAGAUACGGCCGAAGCUCCUACGGGAGGCAGCAGGGGGGAAGAUUGAAGAAUGGACGGAAGUCGGAUGCAGCAACGCUGCGUGCGGGAUGACGGUGUUCGUGUUGUAGACCGUUUGCAAUAGUGACGAAGCUCUUUGUGACGGUAGCAGUACAAGAAGCAACGGCUAACUACGUG